AACGGUUAAUAAUCUGGAAAUCAAGAAAUCACUGGGUAUGCUUUUGAGUGUGAUACAGGUUUUGGGUAUGAUUUCAAUAUGGUCCAUCUCAAGCUUCCUCAUGUGGUUAUCACCACCACCACCUUCCCAAAACCAGUCUUGAAGAAUAAUUGUUAUGUUUUCAGUUUCUAAAGUGUAUAAUAACUUCACCUUUUGAUAGGUUUAUUUACAUUUGAAAGAUAAAUGGUUAUGGUUCUAGAGGUGUUUAUAUCAAACAUGUUUUCUUGGAAUGUUGAGUGAAUUUUUUUAAAACUGCAACAUGUUUUUCUAUUUAUAGUAAAUGAAUUUUCUUCCUAAAAAUAGGAAUGGUCUAUUUAUGGUAACUCCAGCCUCCUUAUCUGAAAGAAAGUCCAUACUGUUAUGUUCAAAUUGCUUUAGUAUCAGGUUUUGGUCGGAUAAACUUGAUCCAAUCAGUCUAACGUUUCCUUCAGAGACCAUAAACCAAGAGAAGUCUCUCAAAAGAGAGCUUAUUUGCCUCUUGCUACUUCAGAAGACGAUCCAGAAACACUAAGUCAACCCGAAGAUACACCUCGAGAUGAUAGUUCAUCUAUCCAACACAAUGGAAACGGUGGCAAACCGGGUUUCAUUUCGUUUUACAACCCUCGGAACAAGGCAGAGGGUCUCCUUCUCCCUCCUGAAGAAGCACAGAGCACAUGGGGACGCCUCCUCUGGCUCAUUGGUCCUACUGUCUUAGUCUCCUCCUUCACUCUACCUCCCAUUUACUUGCGAAGAAUCGUCUCAGCUGUUUUUGAAGACUCUUUACUCACAGGUUACCUCUCUUUCCAUCCCUCUCCCUUUACUUCUCAACUUGACACAACUUUCUAUUUGCAGACUUCCUCAUAUUGUUCUUCACUGAGGCUCUCUUCUACUGUGGAGUCGCCGCUUUUCUUCUGAUAACACACCGUUCGAAAACGUCAUCCACCAGAACCAACCCUUCUCAGUUAGGACAAAGGAUCUCCUCCGUAGCAACGUUAGUGCUUAGUCUUAUGAUCCCAAUGGUGACAAUGGGAUUUGUAUGGCCAUGGACCGGUCCUGCAGCAUCAGCUACUCUUGCACCCUACCUCGUAGGCAUUGUCGUUCAGUUUGCUUUCGAACAGUACGCUAGAUACAGGAAGUCUCCAUCAUCUCUCACCAUCCCCAUCAUCUUUCAGGUAUGCAGCAAUGCAAUCUUCUUGCCAUAACAAAAUUUUCACUUUUGUAACGUUUUUUGAAAGGAUAUGUGUUUGGUUCUUUAGGUGUAUAGACUUCAUCAGCUGAAUAGAGCGGCACAGUUAGUGACAGCGUUGUUGUUCACGGUGAAAGGAGCAGAGGCAACGGUUAAUAAUCUGGAAAUCAAGAAAUCACUGGGUAUGCUUUUGAGUGUGAUACAGGUUUUGGGUAUGAUUUCAAUAUGGUCCAUCUCAAGCUUCCUCAUGUGGUUAUCACCACCACCACCUUCCCAAAACCAGUCUUGAAGAAUAAUUGUUAUGUUUUCAGUUUCUAAAGUGUAUAAUAACUUCACCUUUUGAUAGGUUUAUUUACAUUUGAAAGAUAAAUGGUUAUGGUUCUAGAGGUGUU
This 1596-nucleotide long non-coding RNA is filed under the name Brassica napus (rape). RNAcentral's name for it is "long non-coding RNA (BNAP_LNC007343)". The record is from RNAcentral. Lineage: Eukaryota; Viridiplantae; Streptophyta; Magnoliopsida; Brassicales; Brassicaceae.